UACAGAGGUCCCGAGCGUUGUUCGGAUUCAUUGGGCGUAAAGGGUGCGUAGGCGGUCUGCUAAGUUUGAUGUGAAAUCCCGGGGCUCAACCCUGGAAUGGCAUUGAAUACUGGCGGACUAGAGUCCCGGAGAGGAAACUGGAAUUUACGGUGUAGCAGUGAAAUGCGUAGAGAUCGUAAGGAAGACCAGUGGCGAAGGCGAGUUUCUGGACGGGUACUGACGCUGAGGCACGAAGGCCCGGGGAGCAAACGGG
Molecule: ribosomal RNA, 253 nt
Filed under: uncultured bacterium
Lineage: Bacteria
Description: partial 16S ribosomal RNA
Rfam family: Bacterial small subunit ribosomal RNA
Source: RNAcentral